This 497-nucleotide ribosomal RNA is filed under the name uncultured bacterium. Its description in RNAcentral is "partial 16S ribosomal RNA". It matches the Rfam family "Bacterial small subunit ribosomal RNA", at positions 28 to 507 of the family's 1533-position model. The record is from RNAcentral.
GAUGAACGCUGGCGGCGUGCCUAAUACAUGCAAGUCGAGCGAACGGACGGGAAGCUUGCUCCCCUGCUGUUGGCGGCGGACGGGUGAGUAACACGUGGAUAACCUACUUCUAAGACUGGGAUAAUUUCGGGAAACCGGUGCUAAUACUGGAUGAUAUUUUGAACGGCAUGGUUCAAAAGUGAUAGACGGUCUUGGUGUCACUUAUAGAUGGAUCCGCGCUGCAUUAGCUAGUUGGUAAGGUAACGGCCUACCAAGGCAACGAUGCAUAGCCGACCUGAGAGGAUGAUCGGCCACACUGGAACUGAGACACGGUCCAGACUCCUACGGGAGGCAGCAGUAGGGAAUCUUCGACAAUGGGCGAAAGCCUGACCGAGCAACGCCGCGUGAGUGAUGAAGGUCUUCGGAUUGUAAAACUCUGUUAUUAGGGAAGAAAAGAUGUAUAAGUAACUGUGGACAUCUUGACGGUACCUAAUCAGAAAGCCACGGCUAACUACGUG